RNAcentral lists this ribosomal RNA (500 nucleotides) under uncultured bacterium. RNAcentral's name for it is "partial 16S ribosomal RNA". It matches the Rfam family "Bacterial small subunit ribosomal RNA", at positions 30 to 523 of the family's 1533-position model. The record is from RNAcentral.
AUUGAACGCUGGCGGCAUGCCUUACACAUGCAAGUCGAACGGCAGCACGGGGGCAACCCUGGUGGCGAGUGGCGAACGGGUGAGUAAUACAUCGGAACGUGCCCAGUCGUGGGGGAUAACGUAGCGAAAGUUAAGCUAAUACCGCAUACGAUCUAUGGAUGAAAGCGGGGGAUCGCAAGACCUCGCGCGAUUGGAGCGGCCGAUGGCAGAUUAGGUUGUUGGUGGGGUAAUGGCUUACCAAGCCUCCGAUCUGUAGCUGGUCUGAGAGGACGAUCAGCCACACUGGGACUGAGACACGGCCCAGACUCCUACGGGAGGCAGCAGUGGGGAAUUUUGGACAAUGGGCGCAAGCCUGAUCCAGCAAUGCCGCGUGCAGGACGAAGGCCUUCGGGUUGUAAACUGCUUUUGUACGGAGCGAAACGGCUCUGGUUAAUACCUGGGGCUCAUGACGGUACCGUAAGAAUAAGCACCGGCUAACUACGUGCCAGCCGCCGCAGUAA